RNAcentral lists this ribosomal RNA (549 nucleotides) under Colletotrichum gloeosporioides. RNAcentral describes it as "eukaryotic LSU rRNA". The stretch from base 176 to 329 matches the Rfam family "5.8S ribosomal RNA". Lineage: Eukaryota; Fungi; Ascomycota; Sordariomycetes; Glomerellales; Glomerellaceae. The record is from RNAcentral.
UGGAAAUUGAAUUCGCUCUAUAACCCUUUGUGACAUACCUAUAACUGUUGCUUCGGCGGGUAGGGUCUCCGUGACCCUCCCGGCCUCCCGCCCCCGGGCGGGUCGGCGCCCGCCGGAGGAUAACCAAACUCUGAUUUAACGACGUUUCUUCUGAGUGGUACAAGCAAAUAAUCAAAACUUUUAACAACGGAUCUCUUGGUUCUGGCAUCGAUGAAGAACGCAGCGAAAUGCGAUAAGUAAUGUGAAUUGCAGAAUUCAGUGAAUCAUCGAAUCUUUGAACGCACAUUGCGCCCGCCAGCAUUCUGGCGGGCAUGCCUGUUCGAGCGUCAUUUCAACCCUCAAGCUCUGCUUGGUGUUGGGGCCCUACAGCUGAUGUAGGCCCUCAAAGGUAGUGGCGGACCCUCCCGGAGCCUCCUUUGCGUAGUAACUUUACGUCUCGCACUGGGAUCCGGAGGGACUCUUGCCGUAAAACCCCCAAUUUUCCAAAGGUUGACCUCGGAUCAGGUAGGAAUACCCGCUGAACUUAAGCAUAUCAAUAAGGCGGAGGAA